RNAcentral lists this ribosomal RNA (674 nucleotides) under Pseudovibrio sp. AU451_Ted1_MB20SE. RNAcentral describes it as "bacterial SSU rRNA". It matches the Rfam family "Bacterial small subunit ribosomal RNA", at positions 60 to 780 of the family's 1533-position model. Lineage: Bacteria; Pseudomonadati; Pseudomonadota; Alphaproteobacteria; Hyphomicrobiales; Stappiaceae. The record is from RNAcentral.
AGUCGAACGGAUCCUUCGGGAUUAGUGGCAGACGGGUGAGUAACGCGUGGGAAGCUACCUUGUGGUAGGGGACAACAGUUGGAAACGACUGCUAAUACCCUAUGAGCCCUAUGGGGGAAAGAUUUAUCGCCAUGAGAUGUGCCCGCGUUAGAUUAGCUAGUUGGUAAGGUAAUGGCUUACCAAGGCGACGAUCUAUAGCUGGUCUGAGAGGAUGAUCAGCCACACUGGGACUGAGACACGGCCCAGACUCCUACGGGAGGCAGCAGUGGGGAAUAUUGGACAAUGGGGGCAACCCUGAUCCAGCCAUGCCGCGUGUGUGAUGACGGCCUUAGGGUUGUAAAGCACUUUCAGCAGUGAAGAUAAUGACAUUAACUGCAGAAGAAGCCCCGGCUAACUUCGUGCCAGCAGCCGCGGUAAUACGAAGGGGGCUAGCGUUGUUCGGAAUCACUGGGCGUAAAGAGUACGUAGGCGGACUGAUAAGUUAGGGGUGAAAUCCCAAGGCUCAACCUUGGAACUGCCUUUGAUACUGUCAGUCUUGAGAUCGAGAGAGGUGAGUGGAACUCCGAGUGUAGAGGUGAAAUUCGUAGAUAUUCGGAAGAACACCAGUGGCGAAGGCGGCUCACUGGCUCGAUACUGACGCUGAGGUACGAAAGCGUGGGGAGCAAACAGGAUUA